Molecule: ribosomal RNA, 459 nt
Filed under: uncultured bacterium
Lineage: Bacteria
Description: partial 16S ribosomal RNA
Rfam family: Bacterial small subunit ribosomal RNA
Source: RNAcentral
CCUACGGGAGGCAGCAGUGAGGAAUAUUGGUCAAUGGGCGCGAGCCUGAACCAGCCAAGUCGCGUGAGGGAAGACGGUCCUAUGGAUUGUAAACCUCUUUUGUCGGGGAGCAAAAGACGCCACGCGUGGCGUUCCGAGAGUACCCGAAGAAAAAGCAUCGGCUAACUCCGUGCCAGCAGCCGCGGUAAUACGGAGGAUGCGAGCGUUAUCCGGAUUUAUUGGGUUUAAGGGGUGCGCAGGCGGAAGAUCAAGCCGGCGGUAAAAUUGAGAGGCUCAACCUCUUCGAGCCGUUGAAACUGGUGUUCUUGAGUGAGUGAGAAGUAUGCGGAAUGCGUGGUGUAGCGGUGAAAUGCAUAGAUAUCACGCAGAACUCCGAUUGCGAAGGCAGCAUACCGGCGCUCAACUGACGCUCAUGCACGAAAGUGUGGGUAUCGAACAGGAUUAGAUACCCCAGUAGUC